GGACUCGUAGCUCAGUUGGAUAGAGCAUUCCCCUUCUAAGGGACAGGUCGCAAGUUCGACUCUUGCCGAGUCCGCCA
Molecule: transfer RNA, 77 nt
Filed under: Bacteriovorax sp.
Lineage: Bacteria; Pseudomonadati; Bdellovibrionota; Bacteriovoracia; Bacteriovoracales; Bacteriovoracaceae
Description: tRNA-Arg
Rfam family: tRNA
About the family: Transfer RNA (tRNA) molecules are approximately 80 nucleotides in length. Their secondary structure includes four short double-helical elements and three loops (D, anti-codon, and T loops). Further hydrogen bonds mediate the characteristic L-shaped molecular structure. tRNAs have two regions of fundamental functional importance: the anti-codon, which is responsible for specific mRNA codon recognition, and the 3' end, to which the tRNAs corresponding amino acid is attached (by aminoacyl-tRNA synthetases). tRNAs cope with the degeneracy of the genetic code in two manners: having more than one tRNA (with a specific anti-codon) for a particular amino acid; and 'wobble' base-pairing, i.e. permitting non-standard base-pairing at the 3rd anti-codon position.
Source: RNAcentral